CAGACAUGACUGAGAGUUCGUGGAGUGGGAUGCCGUGGGAAGGGCUGGGACGUCUCCACCUGAGCAAGGAGAGAUCCCAGCAAGUGGAGAAGGGAUUUUUCAAGCCCGUGAGUUCCUUUGAGCUGUUGGCUACCGCCUGCCCAGACUUGCCACCUGACUUCUCCGAGUUUCUCCAGGAGGGUCCCAACUGCUUCUGCAUUGGCCCCAGAGAGGAGGCAGCUUUGAUUCAUGAGCACAGCGGGUUUCUGCAUCACUUCGAAUCACGCCGGUCCACCCAUGGGGAGGGAGCCAGGGCAACACAAGGGAUCAUCCCACAUCACUCCUGUAUGUUGCCUUCAGUGCCCUCAAUACCCCUGAGCAGGACCAAAGCACUUAGACAGAGAGACCCAAGCCAGUCACUGUAACAACUGGUGAAAUACCAGGUGUGCGAAGGUUGGAAGGAGCUUUUUGCUCCCGGCUUUGCUCAUGGAGCAGAGCUUGGCCCUUGCUGCUCUUGAUCCCUGGGUCUGUGGAGCUGUGGGAGCACGGCCUUCCCAAAGGUGCUGUGCUUGUGGCCCAGAGGACCGUGAGCCUGUCCAGGCCAGACAGCCCGGCUGCUGUUGUGCUGCACCCUCUCUGUUCCUGUAAGAGAAACGUACUGCCUGUAAUUAUCUCCCAUUCAAAUCCCGCCCCCCCAUGCACUGUUGAAAAUAAACUCUCCCUUUUGCAAAAA
This is a long non-coding RNA of Manacus vitellinus (golden-collared manakin), 712 nucleotides long. RefSeq lists it as uncharacterized. The record is from RefSeq and is a predicted model, not a curated record. Lineage: Eukaryota; Metazoa; Chordata; Aves; Passeriformes; Pipridae. The transcript is spliced from 2 exons.